This 138-nucleotide non-coding RNA is filed under the name uncultured Eubacterium sp. RNAcentral describes it as "FMN riboswitch (RFN element)". It matches the Rfam family "FMN riboswitch aptamer (RFN element)". Rfam says of the family: The RFN element is a highly conserved domain that is found frequently in the 5'-untranslated regions of prokaryotic mRNAs that encode for flavin mononucleotide (FMN) biosynthesis and transport proteins. This element is a metabolite-dependent riboswitch that directly binds FMN in the absence of proteins. The record is from RNAcentral. Lineage: Bacteria; Bacillati; Bacillota; Clostridia; Eubacteriales; Eubacteriaceae.
UAUUUUCAGGGCGGGGUGAAAUUCCCCACCGGCAGUAAGAGGGUUGAGUUCCUUAAAGUCUGCGACCCGCAAAGGCUCUUUGCGGCUGAAUCGGUGAAAUUCCGAUACCGACGGUUAAAGUCCGGAUGAGAGAAAAUG